CAAGUCGGACGGGAUUCAGAUUAAAGCUUGCUUUGAUUUGAUGAGAGUGGCGCACGGGUGCGUAACGCGUGAGCAACCUACCCAUAUCAGGGGGAUAGCCUCUCGAAAGAGAGAUUAACACCGCAUAACAUCAUUUACCGGCAUCGGAUUAUGAUCAAAUAUUUAUAGGAUAUGGAUGGGCUCGCGUGACAUUAGCUAGUUGGAGGGGUAACGGCCCACCAAGGCUACGAUGUCUAGGGGCUCUGAGAGGAGAAUCCCCCACACUGGUACUGAGACACGGACCAGACUCCUACGGGAGGCAGCAGUAAGGAAUAUUGGUCAAUGGAGGGAACUCUGAACCAGCCAUGCCGCGUGCAGGAUGACUGCCCUAUGGGUUGUAAACUGCUUUUGUCAGGGAAUAAACCUUUCCACGUGUGGGAAGCUGAAUGUACCUGAAGAAUAAGGAUCGGCUAACUCCGUGCCAGCAGCCGCGGUAAUACGGAGGAUCCAAGCGUUAUCCGGAUUUAUUGGGUUUAAAGGGUGCGUAGGCGGUCCUAUAAGUCAGUGGUGAAAGACGGCAGCUUAACUGUCGCAGUGCCUUUGAUACUGUAGGACUUGAAUCUAUUUGAAGUGGGCGGAAUAAGACAAGUAGCGGUGAAAUGCAUAGAUAUGUCUUAGAACUCCGAUUGCGAAGGCAGCUCACUAAGUUAGUAUUGACGCUGAUGCA
Molecule: ribosomal RNA, 706 nt
Filed under: Sphingobacterium sp. Y4_1246_2
Lineage: Bacteria; Pseudomonadati; Bacteroidota; Sphingobacteriia; Sphingobacteriales; Sphingobacteriaceae
Description: bacterial SSU rRNA
Rfam family: Bacterial small subunit ribosomal RNA
Source: RNAcentral